This 476-nucleotide ribosomal RNA is filed under the name uncultured soil bacterium. RNAcentral describes it as "bacterial SSU rRNA". It matches the Rfam family "Bacterial small subunit ribosomal RNA", at positions 26 to 518 of the family's 1533-position model. The record is from RNAcentral.
AGGACGAACGCUGGCGGCGUGCUUAACACAUGCAAGUCGAGCGAGGCCCCACCUUCGGGUGGGUGUCCUAGCGGCGAACGGGUGAGUAACACGUGGGCAACCUGCCCCUAGCACUGGGAUAACUCCGGGAAACCGGGGCUAAUACCGGAUACGACUUCGGAAGGCAUCUUCUGAAGUGGAAAGGGUUACUGGCUAGGGAUGGGCCCGCGGCCUAUCAGCUUGUUGGUGGGUAACGCCUACCAAGGCUCCGACGGGUAGCCGGCCUGAGAGGGCGACCGGCCACGACUGGGACUGAGACACGGCCCAGACUCCUACGGGAGGCAGCAGUGGGGAAUAUUGCACAAUGGGCGAAAGCCUGAUGCAGCGACGCCGCGUGAGGGAUGACGGCCUUCGGUGUAAACCUCUUUCAGCAGGGACGAAGCGAAAGUGACGGUACCUGCAGAAGAAGCACCGGCCAACUACGUGCCAGCAGCCGC